AUUUAUUCAUUUAAUUCCAAGCCCAAAUCUUCAAGUUUCAAAAAUAUAUUUAAAAAUUCAUUAUUACUACCAAAUAAAAGAUGCAAUCAAAAAUGUACAAUCUAACUGAACAGACACUUCACAGAUGAAAUACAAAUAAGCAAUAAAUACACGAAAAAAUGUUCAGCAUCUCUAGCCAUGGGAGAAAUGUGAAUCAAAACAAUACUGAGGUGGUCAAGAAGUAAGCAAUUUUGAAAGUGCAUAAGAGAAAGUAGUAGGAGGGAAGGAUAUUCCACAUCUCUGCAUAGCCUUAGAUAUAACUUAAUGUGCAGGAAAGAUCAGGUAAUUUAAAAGUUAGGUAAGGAUAGGAGAAGGGACAGAAAAGAAUGUACCACUGAAUUGGAGUGGCCUUAGGCAUAGCGUGGAGGAGAGACUCUCUCCCUAGAAUGUGAUCCAUAAAAAUUGAGCACAUGUAGAUAGAAGAGGUGGGAGACCAGUCUGGGAAAGCUUUGUAGGGUUACAAAGUACAUUUUCCCCAUCUCUAAGUGUAUCAUAUUGUUCUCACUUUACCCUGCCUCUUCCCCAUAGACCUGAACAGAUGGUGUUUUGUGAUGUCAUAGUUUCUCUGCACAUCCAGGGCUACCAUUGUUUGGUGCCUUGCUGACCAAAGAAAGCACAAGGGCGUGGCCACCUUAGGGAGAGGUAUACAAACAGAGGUCAGGUCCACCCGGGGCAGACCACUGGGAGGAACUCUGCUAGGAACCAUGGCGAGAUAUUCACCUAGGAAGUGGGGACAGCAUAGAGCUACUGAAAACGUGGAACAAAGACCACUCCUGAGAAGGAAGACAAGGGCGAUCUCAGCACCCAAAUUUCAGGGCAAGGUGAGCAAGAAUUCAAGCAGGGCGAAGAAAGCCAGGACAUCAAAGAAAAUUACUCCCCAGGUGGUCCCACUCGCCAUGGUGACCCGACAAGAUGGGAAGCAGCAACGAGUAUUGGCCUGUGGCACCAACAGGAUGAGAAACCCAAGCAAGAUGUGCCAGAGCAGGAGUGCAUCCAUGGGAGAACAUAGACGUCCCCAGGGAGCCCCACGCAUGCUGCCCCCGAAAUCGCAGGCCAAGAGGGUUCGGAAGAGGACCGCCCGAGGACGGAGAACCUCAUCCUCACGGAAGAUGAUCCCAGAGUCCCGUGGCCAGAGAGGCCGCAAACCUCCUUCUAAUCUGAGACGUGGCCCUCGGUCUGUGGACCGCUACUGAACAACUGAGGUAGUCCCCAGAUUCUACACCAACAAUUUCCAGUGAUGGUGCAAUAAAAUCUACCUCUGGGAACCUGCGAAUAUGUGUCUGUGUGUUGUCUGAGCUAGGGAGGAAGAGAGAAAACGUGGAAGGGAACAGCAGGAGAGGGUGGGAAGGGAGGAAGGAGGGAUCCUCCUCCCACUGAUGGAAAUUUGAAAAAGGAAGAGGGAGUGAGGCUGUCAGGGAAGAAGGA
Molecule: long non-coding RNA, 1464 nt
Filed under: Chinchilla lanigera (long-tailed chinchilla)
Lineage: Eukaryota; Metazoa; Chordata; Mammalia; Rodentia; Chinchillidae
Description: lncRNA (ENSCLAG00000026884.1)
Source: RNAcentral